Molecule: RNA transcript, 1446 nt
Organism: Myotis myotis
Lineage: Eukaryota; Metazoa; Chordata; Mammalia; Chiroptera; Vespertilionidae
Gene: CFAP73
Gene name: cilia and flagella associated protein 73
Exons: 7
Source: RefSeq, a predicted model, not a curated record
CGUUGAUGGUUGUCUGGGCAACCAGGGCCUGCUUGGUGGCUGCCUUCUGGGAGUACCGAACACGCUGUUGCACCACCCUCCAUCAGAAACCCUCCAGGUGGAAAGAAAGCCCCAGCAAUCGCCAGGAGAAUGGCCGUGUCCUGGGAGAGAGAUUUCCGACUGGCCUUGCAAGACAAGCUGCCGAUGAAGAUCCCGGAACAGAAUCCCAGCCACUCCCUGCCGGUGCUGUGUCUCCUGCAGAAGAGGCAGGAGCUGGUGGAUGUGGACCGGAGCCUGCGGGCCCAGAGGGAGGUGUUCCAGAACAGGAUGGCAGUCCUGAUGCAGCGCCGGGAACAGUUGGAACAGAAGAAGCAGGAGCUAAAGGGGUCCUUUUUCCGCUUUGACAAGUUCUUGCAGGACGCCGAGGCCCGACGUAGCCGCGGGAUGCGGAGGGCGGCGGAGGAGCGACACCGCGCGGGCCGCCAGGAGGCCGAGGCGCUGCGGCUCCGGGCCCAGCUCGCCGAUCUGCAGCGGGAGCGCGCGCGGCUGCAGCGCCGGCUGGAGCGCCUGGGGCCCGGCGCGCGGCUGCUGGAGCAGGUGCUGGGGCGGCUGCCGGAGUUCCAGGAGGUCCCCGAGCUGGUGGCGCGCUUCGAUGCCCUCGCGGACACGCUGGCCGCGCUGAGGCUCGCGGAGCGCCGGCGGCGGGCGGAGCUGGAGGAGGCGCGCGCGCGGCUGCAGCGGCUGCGGGACGCCUGGCAGGACGAGCUGCUCCGGCGGGGCCAGCAGCGCGCGCAGUUGCUGGAGCGCCUGGAGGCGGCGCGGGAGCGCACGCUGCACUGGGUACGGCCCAGCGGGCGCCGGGACCCCAGCCUCCCACCGCGGGGUAGAGCGCCAGGGUUGAUAAGAACAGAUGGGGCGAUGCUUACCGCAGCGCCAGGUUUGGCAUCAGAAAGCACUUUAGGGCACGGGACGCCUGUCGCCUGCCCUCCUCCCCUCGAGAGCGCUCACGGGAAUCCAAGUGGGUUCAGAUCCAGAACACAGCCGCUGAGAAGACGCUGCUCCUGGGCCGCGUGAGGAUGGCGGCGCUCAACCUGUUCCAGUUGGUGUGCCAGCAUCACAGGCAGCCGCCUGCCCUGGACCUCGAGGACACGGAGGGGCAGCUGGAGCAGGUGAAGCUGUUCCUCCUGGACCUCUCUGCCGUGCUGGCCAGCCUCCCCCAGAGUGAGCCCGAGACCGCGGCCCCCUAGCCCGACCCUGGUGAGUAGUGGGCGCCCCCCGAGGGGCUUCUCCUCCCGGAAAGAAGGUACACAUUUCCUGGGGUGGGGCGGAAUGGCUCUCACCUGGAGAUGGGAGGCCGUGCCCACUCAGAUGGCGGCGGGACAACACGAGGGGCACACAGCCAGCACUCAGAACUCGUGGCCGACAUGGGGGCACCCACCCCACCCCCACCACCUGGCCUGGGGCCGG